CGUUUAGCCAUUGUUAGCAGCUACUAGCUAGCUUUACUUAAAUAACAUCAACCAAAUCCAGUCUCCAACGCGAAUUAAAUACUACCUGGGUCUAUGUAAUUGCAGAUGACAUGAUAAUUGCAGCAGCCACCAAAGAAGAGCAUGAUCACAUUCUACAGCAGGUGAUGGGCAGAGCUAUCCGUCUGAAUAUGAAGUUCAAUGCUGACAAGAUGCAAUACAUGGCAGACAUUCUAUCUAAUACUGACUGGAACUAUACACUAUACAUGGGCCGAAUGGCCUCUCUCCUGUUUGGAUCUUCAGGUGCAUCUUCAGCUGGUGCUGGUGGGAGAACCUCUUCUCACUGGGGGCAGCUGCAGGAUUUCUCCCCUGUGUAAGAAAUCCUAUGGUGCCUCUUUAGGUUGAACGAGUGGGAGAAACUGUCCGGGAACAAGGUGGCAGCCGAACACUUGCCUAUUAAUGUUCUGUGGGGACCCCAGGAAGAGUAACUGCUGAUUUUGCAACAGCUAAUGGGGAUCCAGAAGAAGUUGUUCAAAGAGAAAGCCUAAUGUUGCAGAAACUUGGUUCAGGAUCUCUGGAGGUAUUUCAACAUUCCCUGGCCUUUCAAUCAAAUGUAAAAUGUUCUGUUAUAUAACAAUCCUAAAUUGUAGCCUAUACAUUAUGGCAAUGUACAUGUUUUCAUUUAGAAAUCUACAUCUUGCAUGUUUUUGUUUACAUUUACAAAGCUCAUAUCUCCCUCCGAUUGUAUGGUUAUCUUUUGUGUUAAUGAUUUAAAGUAAACAUUUCUCAUGACAUUUCACAAAUGUCCCAUUUUGAAUCGAUGAUCAACACUGGAUGAAUUGGAUAAAUAGCUAGGUUUGCCUAAAACAUUGGAAACAUAAUAUAUAUAAUGACCAGUCUUUAAUCAAAAUUUGGUUGUUCUUGUAUUUCCACAAGUGCAUUUCUUUGAAAAACAACUGAUUGGGUUUAGAUCUGUUAAAUCGGUGUUUCCGUUAUUUUGUGAAAGUGACUACUGUAAGCAAGUUCAAUGGUAGAAAUGAAGGCUAUGCUCUUGCUGGACAUAUGGUUGAAGUGGUCAGUUGGUUUUGAGAUCUGAUUUGGCCUAUUAAAUUACUGAACACAUUAUUGGUCAAUUGCAUUUGAUUGGUGAGUGAAAGUAGUUUCCACCAAUGGUUCUCACAUACUGUAUAGACAGUAUGUAGGCCUAAUAGUACACAACAAUAAUACAUCACUAAUAGUUAAUUUCCAGGUAAUGACCCGCAGCUAAUCAGUGGCUUCCUCUUUUAAUCAAGCACACAUACACACACGUGCGACUCAAAUCAUUAGUAUUGUAACAUUAGUAAGGCUAAGUUAUUUAUAUCCGUCUACUUCAGUGGUCACCAACCAGUCGAUCUCCAAGGCAUUUACAGUCGAUCGCCAAACAGUUCUGUAAAAUGUGUUGUGUUCCUAUUUUUUCGCCAAUUCAGCUGCCCUGUGUGCCGGGUAUUACAAACUGUUGCCAUUUAAUGUGUCUGAAGGUACAAACUCUGCCUUCCCGGUUGGCCUGGAGAGGAAAUCAAGUGCACAAUUUUUAUGUUUUAUUUUAUUUAACCAGGUAGGCUAGUUGAGAACAAGUUGUCAUUUACAACUGCGACCUGGCCAAGAUAAAGCAAAGCAGUGCAACACAAACAACAACACAUAGUUACACAUGGAAUAUACAAACAUACAGUCAAUAUUACAAUAGAAAAAGUCUAUAUACAUACAGUGUGUGCAAAUGAGGGAGUACGGCAAUAAAUAGGCCAUAGUGGUGAAAUAAUUACAAUAAAGCAAUUAAACACUG
Molecule: long non-coding RNA, 1816 nt
Organism: Salvelinus fontinalis (brook trout)
Lineage: Eukaryota; Metazoa; Chordata; Actinopteri; Salmoniformes; Salmonidae
Exons: 3
Source: RefSeq, a predicted model, not a curated record